UGUGGAUCAGGAUGUAGAACUCCCAGCUACCUCUCCAGCGCCAUGUCUGCCUGUGUGCCACCCUGCUUCCCUCCGUGACGUUGAUGGACUAACCCUCUGAACUGUACGCCAGCCAGUUAAAUGUUUUCUUUUAUAAGAGUUGUCGUGGUCAUGGUGUCUCUUCACAGCAAUAAAACCUUAACUAAGACAAACCAUUAAUCUCAGGACCUGCAGUAGCCUGGGAUGCCUCAUGGUUCAAGGACAGGACAGGAUUAAGUGAACAAAGUCCCAAAAGAAAAGUCUGGAGUUUCAGAUUGCACAGACAGGAACAAAGACCGCUUGCAUCUUUUUUAGAGGACGCCUUACCUUGGUUUUCUGAAAGAACUUUUGGUGUGGCUGGCCUAGUGAGGGAGGGGUUGAGCAUUCUGAUGCCAUCGCCUGGUGAGACCAAAGUCUGGAUGUUGACAUGCCCAGCAAGCACCAGAGGAAGGCCCUACAGCUGAGCCUUCUUGCACCUGCCAGUGUCUUAUGACCCCAAAUCCCCUUUAGUUGUGCACACAUGGACACUGUUUAGCUUCCUGGAGAUCUCGUCUGCAAAGCUGCCAGGUUGAAGUGACAGAGUUUAUCUUAUCAGCAAACGCCUUCUCGAUCCCCGGAAACUGUAAUUCAGACCAUUCACACCUCCCACAGGGAGUGGCACUAUUAGGAGGUGUGGCUAUGUUGGAGUAGCUGUGGCCUUGUCAGAGGAACUGUAUCACCAUGGGGCUUUGACAUCUCAGAUGCCCAAGCAGGGCCUAGUUGUCACUGUCAUUUCUGCUGCUGGAAGAUCAAGUCUGCCUGCACACUGCCACAUCGCACCAUGGGACGACGGACUAAACCUCUGAAACUGAACAAUGCUACAUAACAGCAUCAAAGAAGAUUCCAAAAUCUGGGGCCUAAAGAACAGAGGAAAGGAACACACUAAUCACUAAGAUUUGGGACAGUCUGGGGCUGGAGAAAUGGCUGGGCAGCUUGAUGCUCUUCCAUGGGGACCCAAGCUCCCCUGUGAUCGAAGAAGCCAGAAGAACCUGUCACAACAGUUGGAGCUGCCACAGCUGCUGUGCCCCGAUGUAACAGACCAAAUCUUCUGAACAGGACCAAUAUGGCAGAAGGAGAGAAUGGACUCAUGAAGUUGCCCACUGGCUUCUACAUACAUGCUGUGGCAUGUGGGGCCCCUACUCCAAUAAAGAUUACAAACCUAUAUUACAAACCUAUUAUAAAGCCGUGAUGAUUUCCAUGUAUAGCGUUGGCUUAUGGGAAACAGCUCAGUGGAGU
RNAcentral lists this long non-coding RNA (1293 nucleotides) under Cricetulus griseus (Chinese hamster). Its description in RNAcentral is "lncRNA (ENSCGRG00015030742.1)". Lineage: Eukaryota; Metazoa; Chordata; Mammalia; Rodentia; Cricetidae. The record is from RNAcentral.